GCUACACAUGCAGUCGAACGGCAGCACAGCAGUAGCAAUACUGUGGGUGGCGAGUGGCGGACGGGUGAGGAAUACAUCGGAAUCUGCCUUAUCGUGGGGGAUAACGUAGGGAAACUUACGCUAAUACCGCAUACGACCUACGGGUGAAAGCGGGGGAUCGCAAGACCUCGCGCGAUAAGAUGAGCCGAUGUCGGAUUAGCUAGUUGGCGGGGUAAAGGCCCACCAAGGCGACGAUCCGUAGCUGGUCUGAGAGGAUGAUCAGCCACACUGGAACUGAGACACGGUCCAGACUCCUACGGGAGGCAGCAGUGGGGAAUAUUGGACAAUGGGCGCAAGCCUGAUCCAGCCAUGCCGCGUGGGUGAAGAAGGCCUUCGGGUUGUAAAGCCCUUUUGUCCGGAAAGAAAAGCACUGGAUUAAUACUUCGGUGUUCUGACGGUACCGGAAGAAUAAGCACCGGCUAACUUCGUGCCAGCAGCCGCGGUAAUACGAAGGGUGCAAGCGUUACUCGGAAUUACUGGGCGUAAAGCGUGCGUAGGUGGUUCGUUAAGUCUGAUGUGAAAGCCCUGGGCUCAACCUGGGAAUUGCACUGGAUACUGGCGGGCUAGAGUGCGGUAGAGGAUGGCGGAAUUCCCGGUGUAGCAGUGAAAUGCGUAGAGAUCGGGAGGAACAUCUGUGGCGAAGGCGGCCAUCUGGACCAGCACUGACACUGAGGCACGAAA
This 720-nucleotide ribosomal RNA is filed under the name Lysobacter sp. RNAcentral's name for it is "bacterial SSU rRNA". It matches the Rfam family "Bacterial small subunit ribosomal RNA", at positions 48 to 758 of the family's 1533-position model. Lineage: Bacteria; Pseudomonadati; Pseudomonadota; Gammaproteobacteria; Lysobacterales; Lysobacteraceae. The record is from RNAcentral.